GGUAAGGAUAUAAAUGGGAAAUUGCUUCAAUGGAUUGCGUAUAGGCUUUUGUAUAUGGGUAUCCGUUAGGGAAUAGUUAAUAUAUCUGUGAGGAGAAUGGUUCAGUUGUUUAGACAUGCAUGAGGUAUGCAAUAUGUUAUGUAUGUAGUGUAUGAUGGAUCUUUCUUUUUUUCUAUAUCUUUCUCUUUCUUUCCUUUUUUUCUUUUUCUUUAUUUUCUUUUUCUUUUCUUUUUUUUCCUUCUUUAUUCUUUAUUCAUUUUUUUCCUUUCGCGAGUAAUCUUUAGAUAGUAACACCCGUUCUUGCAAAGAACAAUCAAAAUGGUUCAUGUUGAGUACAAC
This 339-nucleotide long non-coding RNA is filed under the name Lathyrus oleraceus (garden pea). RNAcentral describes it as "Pisum sativum (pea) long non-coding RNA (PSAT_LNC023409)". Lineage: Eukaryota; Viridiplantae; Streptophyta; Magnoliopsida; Fabales; Fabaceae. The record is from RNAcentral.